RNAcentral lists this transfer RNA (72 nucleotides) under Camelus bactrianus (Bactrian camel). It matches the Rfam family "tRNA". Rfam says of the family: Transfer RNA (tRNA) molecules are approximately 80 nucleotides in length. Their secondary structure includes four short double-helical elements and three loops (D, anti-codon, and T loops). The record is from Rfam by way of RNAcentral. Lineage: Eukaryota; Metazoa; Chordata; Mammalia; Artiodactyla; Camelidae. RNAcentral also lists the same sequence under 2 other names.
GAGGGUAGAGUGCAAUGGUAGAGCACAUGCUCAGCAUGCAUGAGGUCCUGGGUUCAAUCCCCAGUACCUUUG